Molecule: ribosomal RNA, 800 nt
Filed under: Janthinobacterium lividum
Lineage: Bacteria; Pseudomonadati; Pseudomonadota; Betaproteobacteria; Burkholderiales; Oxalobacteraceae
Description: bacterial SSU rRNA
Rfam family: Bacterial small subunit ribosomal RNA
Source: RNAcentral
UAACAUGCAGUCGAACGGCAGCACGGAGCUUGCUCUGGUGGCGAGUGGCGAACGGGUGAGUAAUAUAUCGGAACGUACCCUAGAGUGGGGGAUAACGUAGCGAAAGUUACGCUAAUACCGCAUACGAUCUAAGGAUGAAAGUGGGGGAUCGCAAGACCUCAUGCUCGUGGAGCGGCCGAUAUCUGAUUAGCUAGUUGGUAGGGUAAAAGCCUACCAAGGCAUCGAUCAGUAGCUGGUCUGAGAGGACGACCAGCCACACUGGAACUGAGACACGGUCCAGACUCCUACGGGAGGCAGCAGUGGGGAAUUUUGGACAAUGGGCGAAAGCCUGAUCCAGCAAUGCCGCGUGAGUGAAGAAGGCCUUCGGGUUGUAAAGCUCUUUUGUCAGGGAAGAAACGGUGAGAGCUAAUAUCUCUUGCUAAUGACGGUACCUGAAGAAUAAGCACCGGCUAACUACGUGCCAGCAGCCGCGGUAAUACGUAGGGUGCAAGCGUUAAUCGGAAUUACUGGGCGUAAAGCGUGCGCAGGCGGUUUUGUAAGUCUGAUGUGAAAUCCCCGGGCUCAACCUGGGAAUUGCAUUGGAGACUGCAAGGCUAGAAUCUGGCAGAGGGGGGUAGAAUUCCACGUGUAGCAGUGAAAUGCGUAGAUAUGUGGAGGAACACCGAUGGCGAAGGCAGCCCCCUGGGUCAAGAUUGACGCUCAUGCACGAAAGCGUGGGGAGCAAACAGGAUUAGAUACCCUGGUAGUCCACGCCCUAAACGAUGUCUACUAGUUGUCGGGUCUUAAUUGACUUGGUAACG